UACACACGUGCUACAAUGGCAGGUACAGAGGGCUGCGAAGCCGCGAGGUGGAGCGAAUCCCAGAAAACCUGUCUCAGUCCGGAUUGAAGUCUGCAACUCGACUUCAUGAAGGCGGAAUCGCUAGUAACCGCGAAUCAGCAGGUCGCGGUGAAUACGUUCCCGGGCCUU
RNAcentral lists this ribosomal RNA (168 nucleotides) under uncultured Latescibacterota bacterium. RNAcentral describes it as "uncultured Latescibacteria bacterium partial 16S ribosomal RNA". It matches the Rfam family "Bacterial small subunit ribosomal RNA", at positions 1215 to 1382 of the family's 1533-position model. Lineage: Bacteria; Pseudomonadati; Candidatus Latescibacterota. The record is from RNAcentral.